AGUUUAAAGAAAUUAUUUUAAAUGAAUCCUGCCCAGUGUUAAUUUAUAAAUGGCCGCAGUACCCUGACUGUGCGAAGGUAGCAUAAUCAAUUGGCUUUUAAUUAAAGUCUGGAAUGAAUGGAGAUUUGGAAAAAAGCUGUCUCAAAAAUAUUUAAUCGAAUUUAAUUAUUAGGUGAAAAUACCUAUUUUAAGAAAAAAGACGAGAAGACCCUUAGAAUUUUUAUAAUAUUAUUUAUUUAAUUUAUUUUUGUUGGGGCGACAAUUAAACAUUUAACUUUAAUUUUUAAUAUAUAACGAAAUUGUUAUAAAAGAAUAAAUUACCUUAGGGAUAACAGCAUAAUUUAUUUAUAAGUUUGUGACCUCGAUGUUGGACUAGGAACUUGAUGGCAAGCAGUCAAAAUAGAUUUGUUCUGUUCGAACAAUAUUAUCCU
This 431-nucleotide ribosomal RNA is filed under the name Protancylus adhaerens. RNAcentral describes it as "partial large subunit ribosomal RNA". Lineage: Eukaryota; Metazoa; Mollusca; Gastropoda; Protancylidae. The record is from RNAcentral.